UCCUCGCUCAAAGAAUCGCAUUCAAAGCUCACACACAAAAGGAUUUACUCCUUUUCAAACUUGCUUUGGGAGAAAGUCCCCGGACACCCUGCGCUUUGGUUCCGCCAAAGUCCUAAGCAGGCAUUGCGGAAACGCGCCGCCAUAGAAGCAAUUCGAUAGCGGCUGACUGCCCUACUCCCUCCCAGCACUCCGCACCACCCGACGGUUACAUGUCACAAUGUCUCUGGAAAGAAUGGGGUGUGUGUUGGGUGUUGGAGAGGGGAAGGAUUUGGUUCCUUGUAUUGGGUUGCCUUUCGUCAUGUUCGGAUAGUCAUGCGAUUGCCCUUUUCAUCUGCUUCCGUUUGGUUGUGGGUGGAGGGUAACUCAAUGGGGCUCAUUCUUGAGGCGAGG
This 390-nucleotide RNase MRP RNA is filed under the name Penicillium arizonense. Its description in RNAcentral is "RNase MRP". It matches the Rfam family "RNase MRP". From Rfam's summary of the family: RNase MRP is an enzymatically active ribonucleoprotein with two distinct roles in eukaryotes. In mitochondria it plays a direct role in the initiation of mitochondrial DNA replication. Lineage: Eukaryota; Fungi; Ascomycota; Eurotiomycetes; Eurotiales; Aspergillaceae. The record is from Rfam by way of RNAcentral.